AACGUAGGUACCGAGCGUUAUCCGGAUUUACUGGGCGUAAAGCGUGUUCAGGCGGCCUGGCAAGUCGGGCAUGAAAUCUCUCGGCUCAACCGAGAGAGGCUGUCCGAUACUGCUGGGCUUGAGGACGGUAGAGGGUGGUGGAAUUCCGCGUGUAGUGGUGAAAUGCGUAGAUAUCGGGAGGAACACCAGUGGCGAAGGCGACUACCUGGCCUGUUCUUGACGCUGAGGCGCGAAAGCUAGGGGAGCAAACGGG
This 253-nucleotide ribosomal RNA is filed under the name uncultured bacterium. RNAcentral describes it as "partial 16S ribosomal RNA". It matches the Rfam family "Bacterial small subunit ribosomal RNA", at positions 524 to 776 of the family's 1533-position model. The record is from RNAcentral.